CAGUCGCCGCGGUAAUACGUAGGGUGCAAGCGUUAAUCGGAAUUACUGGGCGUAAAGCGUGCGCAGGCGGUUCUAUAAGACAGAUGUGAAAUCCCCGGGCUCAACCUGGGAACUGCAUUUGUGACUGUAGAGCUGGAGUGCGGCAGAGGGGGAUGGAAUUCCGCGUGUAGCAGUGAAAUGCGUAGAUAUGCGGAGGAACACCGAUGGCGAAGGCAAUCCCCUGGGCCUGCACUGACGCUCAUGCACGAAAGCGUGGGGAGCAAACAGGAUUAGAUACCCGCGUAGUCCCUGUCUCUUAUAC
RNAcentral lists this ribosomal RNA (301 nucleotides) under uncultured bacterium. RNAcentral describes it as "partial 16S ribosomal RNA". It matches the Rfam family "Bacterial small subunit ribosomal RNA", at positions 509 to 807 of the family's 1533-position model. The record is from RNAcentral.